This 85-nucleotide transfer RNA is filed under the name Candidatus Caldarchaeum subterraneum. RNAcentral's name for it is "tRNA-Leu". It matches the Rfam family "tRNA". Rfam says of the family: Transfer RNA (tRNA) molecules are approximately 80 nucleotides in length. Their secondary structure includes four short double-helical elements and three loops (D, anti-codon, and T loops). The record is from RNAcentral. Lineage: Archaea; Thermoproteati; Nitrososphaerota; Candidatus Caldarchaeales; Candidatus Caldarchaeaceae.
GCGGGGGUAGCCAAGCCUGGUCAACGGCGGCAGGCUCAAGACCUGCUCCCGUAGGGGUUCGUGGGUUCAAAUCCCACCCCCCGCA